This 484-nucleotide ribosomal RNA is filed under the name uncultured bacterium. RNAcentral's name for it is "partial 16S ribosomal RNA". It matches the Rfam family "Bacterial small subunit ribosomal RNA", at positions 30 to 507 of the family's 1533-position model. The record is from RNAcentral.
AUUGAACGCUGGCGGCAGGCCUAACACAUGCAAGUCGAGCGGAUGAAGGGAGCUUGCUCCUGGAUUCAGCGGCGGACGGGUGAGUAAUGCCUAGGAAUCUGCCUGGUAGUGGGGGAUAACGUCCGGAAAUGGGCGCUAAUACCGCAUACGUCCUGAGGGAGAAAGUGGGGGAUCUUCGGAUCUCACGCUAUUAGAUGAGCCUAGGUCGGAUUAGCUAGUUGGUGGGGUAAAGGCCUACCAAGGCGACGAUCCGUAACUGGUCUGAGAGGAUGAUCAGUCACACUGGAACUGAGACACGGUCCAGACUCCUACGGGAGGCAGCAGUGGGGAAUAUUGGACAAUGGGCGAAAGCCUGAUCCAGCCAUGCCGCGUGUGUGAAGAAGGUCUUCGGAUUGUAAAGCACUUUUAGUUGGGAAGAAGAGCAGUAAGUUAAUACCUUGCUGUUUUGACGGUACCCACAGAAUAAGCACCGGCUAACUUCGUG